This 120-nucleotide unclassified non-coding RNA is filed under the name Homo sapiens (human). Lineage: Eukaryota; Metazoa; Chordata; Mammalia; Primates; Hominidae. The record is from RNAcentral.
GGCCGGGCGCGGUAGCUCACGCCUGUAAUCCUAGCACUUUGGGAGGCUGAGGCGGGUGGAUCACCUGAGAUCAGGAGUUCAAGACCAGCCUGGCCAACAUGGUGAAACCCCGUCUCUACU